RNAcentral lists this unclassified non-coding RNA (477 nucleotides) under Dosinia erythraea. RNAcentral's name for it is "sequence contains 5.8S rRNA gene, ITS2 and 28S rRNA gene". The stretch from base 1 to 125 matches the Rfam family "5.8S ribosomal RNA", at positions 30 to 154 of the family's 154-position model. The record is from RNAcentral. Lineage: Eukaryota; Metazoa; Mollusca; Bivalvia; Venerida; Veneridae.
GCAUCGAUGAAGAGCGCAGCCAGCUGCGUGAAUUAAUGUGAAUUGCAGGACACACUGAACAUCGACACCUUGAACGCACAUUGCGGCUCUGGCUCACUGCCAGAGCCACGCCUGUCCGAGGGUCGGCGAACAAAUCAUCGCCACGGACCGAUUCGUUUCGGUCCCGGCGCGUUGGCGUGUCGCGCGGGCAUCAGUCCCGCUCGUCCGCCGUAGACUUCAGCCUCUCUCUUGGCUGCCAGCUGAAGUGGCGCAGGGACAGGGCUCGAACGGGCCUUCUGUCUAGUGCACGUCCCUUUGCGGGGGCGACCUUCUCCGGCAAUGCCACCUCGCUCGCCGACCGACUUCGGUCGACGGGAGAGAGAGCGCGGUCUAGACGCCGCGGAAAAAGAGACCCCUGCGGUCUCUCGCAUCCGACCUCGGAUCAGACGGGGAUACCCGCCGAAUUUAAGCAUAUCAGUAAGCGGAGGAAAAAAAACU